Molecule: ribosomal RNA, 750 nt
Filed under: Triticum aestivum (bread wheat)
Lineage: Eukaryota; Viridiplantae; Streptophyta; Magnoliopsida; Poales; Poaceae
Description: partial small subunit ribosomal RNA
Source: RNAcentral
AUACGCCAAUUGUGAUGGGAAAGCAUGGAAGGCCAAAGGAAGACGUCAUGGGUUUCUUGGAAGGACAUGACCUAGCCCAAGUUUCUGGGUGGAUUGGGAUUCAGGGGAUUUGAGCUCUUCAACCUAGCAUUGAUGGCGUGGCACAUUCUACAAUGUUUACACACUCUUUGUUCCAUGAUGCUGAAAGCUAUUUAUUUCCCCGCUGGUAAUAUUUUGUCAGCCGAACUUGGGAACCAUCCUUCACAUAUAUGGCGAGCAAUAAUUGAAGGAAUAGAUGUGCUACACCAAGGCUUCAUCCGAAUAGUUGGGGAUGGUUCUUCCAUCGUUAUUUGCUCGGACAACUAGAUCCCUAGAGAUGAAAACAUGAGACCGUUUGUGUGCCUCGCAACGGUUCGCCCCACCCUGGUUAAUGAGCUCAUAAAUCAUGUUGAGGCCUCGUUGAAUAGGGAGGUCUUACAACAAACUUUUCUCCCCGCCGAUGUGGACGCAAUCUUGAGCAUACCGCUUUGUACUAGAAAUAAUGAGGAUUUCUGGGCAUGGAAUUCCGACAAGAUGUUUUUUCACAGUGAGGACGGCGUACCACAUGCUCACCCACACACAGCGCCGACGGGAGGCUUGGCUCGAUGGGCGUGCGAGCUCCUCCAAUUAUGGAGCCAAGGAGGAUGGACGGAAGAAGCUCUAGCAGGUGGACGUCUGAGGAAAGCUACACAAUCUUUUGUGGAGGCUGGCAAAACAUUCUAUUCCAACUGA